GACGAACGCUGGCAGCGUGCUUAACACAUGCAAGUCGAACGGAAAGGCCCUGCUUUUGUGGGGUGCUCGAGUGGCGAACGGGUGAGUAACACGUGAGUAACCUGCCCUUGACUUUGGGAUAACUUCAGGAAACUGGGGCUAAUACCGGAUAGGAGCUCCUGCUGCAUGGUGGGGGUUGGAAAGUUUCGGCGGUUGGGGAUGGACUCGCGGCUUAUCAGCUUGUUGGUGGGGUAGUGGCUUACCAAGGCUUUGACGGGUAGCCGGCCUGAGAGGGUGACCGGCCACAUUGGGACUGAGAGACGGCCCAGACUCCUACGGGAGGCAGCAGUGGGGAAUAUUGCACAAUGGGCGGAAGCCUGAUGCAGCAACGCCGCGUGCGGGAUGACGGCCUUCGGGUUGUAAACCGCUUUCGCCUGUGACGAAGCGUGAGUGACGGUAAUGGGUAAAGAAGCACCGGCUAACUACGUG
Molecule: ribosomal RNA, 468 nt
Filed under: uncultured bacterium
Lineage: Bacteria
Description: partial 16S ribosomal RNA
Rfam family: Bacterial small subunit ribosomal RNA
Source: RNAcentral